Dipodomys ordii (Ord's kangaroo rat) is the source of this 65-nucleotide non-coding RNA. NCBI's taxonomy places the organism in Eukaryota, Metazoa, Chordata, Mammalia, Rodentia, Heteromyidae. The record is from Rfam.
GGUGGCUCAGUGGUAGAGCUCUUGCCUUGCAUGCAUGAGGCCCUGGGUUCCAUUCCUCAGCACCA